GUGGGGAAUUUUGGACAAUGGGCGCAAGCCUGAUCCAGCAAUGCCGCGUGCAGGAAGAAGGCCUUCGGGUUGUAAACUGCUUUUGUACGGAACGAAACGGUCCUGGUUAAUACCCGGGGCUAAUGACGGUACCGUAAGAAUAAGCACCGGCUAACUACGUGCCAGCAGCCGCGGUAAUACGUAGGGUGCAAGCGUUAAUCGGAAUUACUGGGCGUAGAGCGUGCGCAGGCGGUGCUGUAAGACAGGCGUGAAAUCCCCGGGCUUAACCUGGGAAUUGCGCUUGUGACUGCAGUGCUGGAGUGCGGCAGAGGGGGAUGGAAUUCCGCGUGUAGCAGUGAAAUGCGUAGAUAUGCGGAGGAACACCGAUGGCGAAGGCAAUCCCCUGGGCCUGCACUGACGCUCAUGCACGAAAGCGUGGGGAGCAAACAGGAUUAGAAACCCCUGUAGUCC
Molecule: ribosomal RNA, 450 nt
Filed under: uncultured bacterium
Lineage: Bacteria
Description: partial 16S ribosomal RNA
Rfam family: Bacterial small subunit ribosomal RNA
Source: RNAcentral